GUUGACAUUCAGUUAAAAAAAAUAGAGGGAGAGUAAUGUAGUAUUUGUAGGAUGCGAUAAGUUAAUAAUUAACUUCGAAGCAUGUAACAACGUUGAUUGACAUUUGUAAUAAAUCAUCAUUCAAUCUAUUCUAUACCUGUGUAGGCGGGAGUUUGAUUCAAAAUAGUAAAAAAUUAAUCAGGAAUCAUUAUGUUAACACAAAUCAGGUUAUUUCUGGGUUACCCGUGCAGCACGUUUAAACAGGAGAUUCAGGAGUGUACCUUGCCUUGUCUUACCUUACUUUGCGCUACGUAUUUUUAAAUACAUUUCCUUACCUUAUUUGCCUUUGACUGUCUUAAGAACCCGCCCGUUUCCACUUGCAAUUUUUGCUGCGAUUUUCUUCUCCCGAUGUAGUGAACGAGUGG
Paramuricea clavata is the source of this 404-nucleotide non-coding RNA. NCBI's taxonomy places the organism in Eukaryota, Metazoa, Cnidaria, Anthozoa, Malacalcyonacea, Plexauridae. The record is from the annotation of a GenBank genome assembly.